AGUGCUACAAUGAAAUAAACUACAAACGUAUCUGCAUGCUAAUAAAAACCAAAAUUGCCAGAUAACUCGAAAUAGCUCACCACCUGGACUGCAAGCCUGGAGAAGCCUUAAAAAUACUCUCCAAAAAAAGAACUGCAGUCACUGGGACCUGAAGAGCUCUGCCCAUGUGUGGAUGGUUGCUGGCGUUACUGCCUUGAACUCUCCGUUGAGCAGGGCAGCAGGGAAGCGGCAAGUGUGUGCAGCAGGCAGAGUCCGAGUCCACAGCAGCUGGUCACGAAUCCCAAAGGCCAAGCAAGAGCAAAAGCUGGCUGGGCUGUGAAAAUUGCUCCUCUGAGGUCCUAGGAAACAUCCUAAGGCCUUCACUCUGCAAAUACCCCUUUCAGGAGGAUGAGAGCGCUGCCUGGAGGAGCUCUUCAUCCCACCAGCUGCUCUGGUGUAUUUUCUGCAUUCCGACUGCUGCCUGGACCUGCCUUGGAGAACACUGGCAUCUGAGGCAGCUGCAAUUGUGCACAGUGGUAAGGAACGGAAAGAAAUCUGUCACAAAAGGAAAAAGCAAUCAGCUGUUAAACGCAGCCAAAGUUUCUCGUUUACAGGGCCCCUGCUUUAUGUCUUAAAUGUGACGUUUGCAC
This 629-nucleotide long non-coding RNA is filed under the name Apteryx owenii (little spotted kiwi). Its description in RNAcentral is "lncRNA (ENSAOWG00000011339.1)". Lineage: Eukaryota; Metazoa; Chordata; Aves; Apterygiformes; Apterygidae. The record is from RNAcentral.